RNAcentral lists this ribosomal RNA (504 nucleotides) under uncultured bacterium. RNAcentral describes it as "bacterial SSU rRNA". It matches the Rfam family "Bacterial small subunit ribosomal RNA", at positions 8 to 507 of the family's 1533-position model. The record is from RNAcentral.
AGAGUUUGAUCAUGGCUCAGAUUGAACGCUGGCGGCAUGCCUUACACAUGCAAGUCGAACGGCAGCGCGGGGCAACCUGGCGGCGAGUGGCGAACGGGUGAGUAAUAUAUCGGAACAUACCUUAGAGUGGGGGAUAACGUAGCGAAAGUUACGCUAAUACCGCAUACGCACUAAGGUGGAAAGUGGGGGAUUCGCAAGAACCUCAUGCUCAUGGAGUGGCCGAUAUCUGAUUAGCUAGUUGGUGAGGUAAAGGCUCACCAAGGCGACGAUCAGUAGCUGGUUUGAGAGGACGACCAGCCACACUGGAACUGAGACACGGUCCAGACUCCUACGGGAGGCAGCAGUGGGGAAUUUUGGACAAUGGGGGCAACCCUGAUCCAGCAAUGCCGCGUGAGUGAAGAAGGCCUUCGGGUUGUAAAGCUCUUUUGUCAGGGAAGAAACGGUGAGUUCUAAUAAAGCUUGCUAAUGACGGUACCUGAAGAAUAAGCACCGGCUAACUACGUG